CCUACGGGUGGCUGCAGUGGGGAAUAUUGCGCAAUGGGCGAAAGCCUGACGCAGCGACGCCGCGUGAGGGAUGAAGGUCUUCUGAUCGUAAACCUCUGUCAGCCGGGGAGCACGGUCCCUUUGCUAAUCAGCAGUGCAUUGACGGUACCUGCAAAGGAAGCACCGGCUAACUCCGUGCCAGCAGCCGCGGUAAUACGGAGGGUGCGAGCGUUAAUCGGAAUUACUGGGCGUAAAGCGCUCGUAGGCGGUAUGUCAAGUCAAGGGUGAAAUCCCCGCGCUCAACGUGGGAACUGCCUUUGAAACUGGCAAACUGGAGUGUGUGAGAGGAUAGUGGAAUUCCAGGUGUAGGAGUGAAAUGCGUAGAUAUCGGGAGGAACAUCAGUGGCGAAGGCGACUAGCUGGCACAGAACUGACGCUGAGGAGCGAAAGCGUGGGUAGCAAACAGGAUUAGAUACCCUUGUAGUC
RNAcentral lists this ribosomal RNA (465 nucleotides) under uncultured bacterium. RNAcentral's name for it is "partial 16S ribosomal RNA". It matches the Rfam family "Bacterial small subunit ribosomal RNA", at positions 338 to 795 of the family's 1533-position model. The record is from RNAcentral.